RNAcentral lists this long non-coding RNA (3069 nucleotides) under Homo sapiens (human). RNAcentral's name for it is "HSALNT0364906". The record is from RNAcentral. Lineage: Eukaryota; Metazoa; Chordata; Mammalia; Primates; Hominidae.
AGUGCUCGCGGCCGAGGGUAGGCUUUGCAACUAACCAGCAAUUUGGCAAAUGAAAAACUAACGUCAUGUCGACUGGGGUGCAACAACGGUCACACCAACAACAACGGCCGUGCGAUUCUGCCCAUUUUGCCCCAUUUUGCAAACCGUUAUUCUUCUGGGGCGGGGGAAGCAAAGCAGCGAUCCUGACUUUAUUAGACCCAGGAAUAUAACGAUCUGGGGCGGCUGCCCUAGCCUUAUUGUUCACUCUUCCCGGAGCCGGGGCUGACAAGCCACUUCCCCCUCGGAAUCCGAGCCCGUGCGGCGGCACCACCCGAGCCGCGACCUCCCCCGCCCCGCCGCCCGCCUUUGGGGAAGGAGCGCUGCCCAUCACCAGCGCGGCCGCUGAGUCCCCAGGAGCCGGCCGGCUCUGCUCCCACCGCCGCGGGCGCACAAAGUGGGAAGGGCGGACGCGCCGGAGGGGCGCCGGGCGCUGGCGGCUCGGGGAGGCAGCCCCGUGCAGCGCAGCCCUGGAGGGAGCGGGGUUCGGCUGGGCAGCAAGGGCGACGCGCUCCUUUCACAGCUAAACGAAAAUGACCAGCCUUAGCAGUCCACGUAAAACCACCCAAAAUAAUAGCGUUCCUCCUAGGAGUAGGAGGAAGGGGUAAUUAGCAAACCAGAUUGAGAAUUAAAAAAAAAAAAAAUGUACCUGCAGUUCCCAGGAAAAACAAAGUCCAGAUGAGAUCCUUAGUUUGCAGCAUUGUAAUCUGCUGGCUGGGAGGGAUGUUCUUGCCGCGGUAAAUUCUGUGCCCCCCCCCCUGCAGCGAGUGUGGACGGCGGCUGAGCGACAGACCUAGGGGCAGACAAUUGCCAGGCUGAGUAUGAUUAUUUUUGCAGAAUUGUUUCCUGCCAGCGGCAGCCGAGCUGCGUUCACGCGCUGAUCGGAGAAUGAGUGACAGUCCCAGCCUCAGCACACUCGCAACUCGGAGAUCCUUGCGCUGGCCCGGGUUCGUUUUGAUGGAACUGGGAUGGGAGCGAGGAGCGGGGGGCGGGGGUGAGAACCUCACUGUGUCCUUCCACCACGCCGGCCACAAAUAGUGCCGAACAUCAAGGAGGUAAGAGAGACAGGGGAGGCAGAUGCGGAAGCCUGCAAAACGCGGCCUGGAGCUUUUGGGGGAGCCGGGCUCUUUCACACGCAGUCUCCCUGGGAGAGCUGGGAUUUCUUUUCACACUUCUACCCUACGCCUUCGCAGGCGCUCCUGCUACCCAGCCUUCCUUAAUCAGCAGUUUGCAUAUUUUGAUAACUAGUAAAUAAUAAAAGCAAAAUUUUAGAUUUGGUUAGGUAAAGUUGUCAAAUCCCUCCAUUUCGAUUCUAAGAUCCUUGCAACACAAGGAUAGCCCAGGACUUUAAGUGCGGGAAAUUAGAACUUUGGAGAGGGAUGGGGGUUGCCGUUGCUGGGUGUUGUUUGGAUAUUGUUUGUUUGUUUGUUUUAUCCUAACUGUGAAGUUUGCUCUCCCACAGAGAGACAUACAACACCCUUCAGCAGAUCCCCUGGGAAGGAGGUGGGAAGAGACUUAAGUUAGAAGAAAACUCCGAUGUUUGGAAGAGAUUUCCAGAAAUAACCCGAAGAAAAUGUUUUCCUGUUUAUAAAUUCUGAAAUCUGUGGUCUCUUUAUUAAAAUAGCCAGGCUUUUAUAUAGGUAUUAUGAUAUAGAAGCGUCAUUAAAUAAUAUUUUCUUACAUGGGGACGUGACCUUAAUUCUUAAAGAUAUUAAUGUAUAAUAUUACUGAGGUACCAACACAAUAGGCUUUAAUUAAAAUUCCACCCGUGUUUUCAAAAGUAGGGGGUGGAGAAAGCGGGGUGAAAAGAAUCAUGUCUCAGCACCUGAAGGCUUGGGUAUGUAAGGAACUAAUGUGAGAAAGGUGUUCUAGAUGUCAGGUUAACCCAUUAGCCUAGAACACUGAAACCCUCUAACAGAGGAAGUCUGCAUAAGUUCAAAGGCAUUAAAGCACUAAUGUUACCGGGUACUCCGUUUUUCUUCAAAGGUCGGCCUCCCCACUCCUGUAGCAGGUUUUUUGUUUUGUUUUGUUUUGUUUUGUUUCUGUUUUGUUUUUUUGAGAUGGAGCCUCGCUCUGUCGCCCAGGCUGCAGUGCAGUGGCGCCAUCUCUGCUCACUGCAACCUCUGCUCCCGGUUCAAGCGAUUCUGCUGCCUCAGCCUCCUGAGUAGCUGGGAUUACAGGCGCGCGCCACCACGCCCAGCUAAUUUUUGUAUUUUUAGUAGAGACGGUGUUUCACCAUGUUGGUCAGGCCGGUCUCGAACUCCUGACCUCGUGAUCUGCCCACCUCAGCCUCCCAAAGUGCUAGGAUUACAGCCGUGAGCUACCGCACCCAGCCGCUGUAGCAGUUUUUAAAAGUCCAUCCUCUACUGUCAGGACAUCCAUCCUUAUUGGACAGGCCCCAUCUCUUCCCCACUUUCCUCCUCUAUAAUAGACCAAGUGGGCCACACCAGUACAGUGUAAUUAGCUUGGACCCCUGAAAAGUAUUUCUUCCCCCAAGUAAAUCUUCCACAACGUUUACUUUGGGCUAUUUCUCUCAUUCCAAGUAUAAACAAUUCAAAAGUACAGAAAAGUAGAAAGAACUAAAAAUAACCCCAAAUCCCACAGAUUCCAGAGAUACUCAUAGAUUUUGUCUUCUGUAUGUGCAUAUGAUUUUUAUAAUUGACAUAUUAUAGUAGCAAUUUGAAUCCUGCUGAUUUUGCCUAACAUCAGUAUAAGCAUUUAUUCCUCUGGAUCAUUAAAAAGCUUUUCUAGAUAUUUUUAUAGCUAUGUAAUAUUUCUUCAUAUGGAUGAUUUUGCAAUGGUUUCCCCAUUUUUGCAUAUUUAUAUUGUUUGUGGAGUUUGAUAAUAUAAAUAAGGCUUUUUUGAACAUCUUUCAACAAAUAUUUGCGGAGCAACCACUGGGUUUAGCCCUGUGCUAGAUGCAGUGAAUUAUAUACGUCUUUUUUUAAUGGUUGCUGUAUUUAAGUGUCUUUGAUUUCAGACUUCUGCUUCUAACAUCUAAAAUCACCACAUUAAAUAUUACAGAUUUAUGUA